UACGGAGGGUGCAAGCGUUAUCCGGAUUUACUGGGUUUAAAGGGUGUGUAGGCGGGCUUUUAAGUCAGUGGUGAAAUCUCCGGGCUCAACCCGGAAACUGCCAUUGAUACUAUUAGUCUUGAAUUUUGUUGAGGUAGGCGGAAUAAGUCAUGUAGCGGUGAAAUGCAUAGAUAUGACUUAGAACACCGAUUGCGAAGGCAGCUUGCUAAACAAAUAUUGACGCUGAGGCACGAAAGCGUGGGGAUCAAACAGG
This 253-nucleotide ribosomal RNA is filed under the name uncultured bacterium. RNAcentral describes it as "partial 16S ribosomal RNA". It matches the Rfam family "Bacterial small subunit ribosomal RNA", at positions 524 to 776 of the family's 1533-position model. The record is from RNAcentral.